RNAcentral lists this ribosomal RNA (2203 nucleotides) under Urinicoccus massiliensis. RNAcentral describes it as "bacterial LSU rRNA". It matches the Rfam family "Bacterial large subunit ribosomal RNA", at positions 698 to 2925 of the family's 2925-position model. The record is from RNAcentral. Lineage: Bacteria; Bacillati; Bacillota; Tissierellia; Tissierellales; Peptoniphilaceae.
AGUUUGAAGUUGUAGACCCGAAACCGUGUGAUCUAUCCAUGGGCAGAGUGAAGUGUUGGUAAAACGACAUGGAGGCUCGAACCGGGUAACGUUUAAAAGUUAUCGGAUGACCUGUGGAUAGGGGUGAAAAGCCAAUCGAACACGGAGAUAGCUGGUUCUCCUCGAAAUAGCUUUAGGGCUAGCCUGUAGGAAAAACUGUUUGGGGGGUAGAGCACUGAAUCGCCAAGGGACAUGUGAUGUUACCGCGGCCUAUCAAACUCCGAAUACCCAAACAAAGCCUAUGGAGUCAGACAGUGAGGGAUGAGCUUCAUUGUCGAAAGGGAAAGAGCCCAGACCACCGACUAAGGUCCCAAAAUACUAUUUAAGUGGGAAAGGAUGUGGAGUUACUCAGACAACUAGGAUGUUGGCUUAGAAGCAGCCAUCCAUUGAAAGAGUGCGUAAUAGCUCACUAGUCAAGUGACUCUGCGCCGAAGAUAACCGGGGCUAAAAUAGAUACCGAAGUCGUGGAACGAAUAACGUUGGUAGAGGAGCAUUGUAUAGACAACGAAGCAAAAGGCGUAAGCCAUUGUGGAGCCUAUACAAGAGAGAAUGCUGGCAUGAGUAGCGAGAGGUGAGUGAGAAUCUCACCCGUCGAAAACCCAAGGAUUCCUGAGGAAGGCUCGUCCACUCAGGGUAAGUCGGGACCUAAGGCGAGGCUGAAAAGCGUAGUCGAUGGACAACAGGUGGAAAUUCCUGUACCGAUGGUAUUGCUGAUGAUGGAGUGACGCAGGAGGGGAAAUAGAGCGCCCAGUUGGUGAGGCGUGCAAGCACAAAGGCAAGAAGAUAGGCAAAUCCGUCUUCUGAAGAUGCUGAAGUGUGAUGCGGAUUGAAAACAAGUAGAGAAGUCUAAACGAACCAAACUGCCAAGAAAAGCUUCUAAGAGAUACCAUUGCCCGUACCGCAAACCGACACAGGUAGGUGAGGAGAGAAUCCUAAGACGAGCGGAAGAACCUUUGUUAAGGAACUCGGCAAAAUGACCCCGUAACUUCGGGAGAAGGGGAGCCCCUGUAAAAGGGGGCCGCAGUGAAAAGGCCCAAGCGACUGUUUACCAAAAACACAAGUAUCUGCGAAGUCGAAAGACGAAGUAUAGGUGCUGACACCUGCCCGGUGCUGGAAGGUUAAGGGGACGAGUUAGCGCAAGCGAAGCUCCGAGCUGAAGCCCCAGUAAACGGCGGCCGUAACUAUAACGGUCCUAAGGUAGCGAAAUUCCUUGUCGGGUAAGUUCCGACCCGCACGAAAGGUGUAACGAUUUGGGCACUGUCUCAACAAAGGAUCCGGUGAAAUUGUAGUAGCGGUAAAGAUGCCGCUUACCCACGACAGGACGGAAAGACCCCGUGGAGCUUUACUGUAGGUUGACAUUGGAUUUUGGGAUAAACUGUACAGGAUAGGUGGGAGGCAGAGAACCAUGUACGCCAGUAUAUGGGGAGCCAAUGGUGGGAUACCACUCUUUUUAUCUUAGAAUUCUAACCGACUUCCGUGAAACCGGAAGCGGGACACUGUCAGUCGGGCAGUUUGACUGGGGCGGUCGCCUCCGAAAGAGUAACGGAGGCGUUCAAAGGUUCCCUCAGCACGGACGGAAAUCGUGCGAAGAGUGCAAAGGCAGAAGGGAGCUUAACUGCGAGAGCGACAACUCGAGCAGAUGCGAAAGCAGGACUUAGUGAUCCGGUGGUACCGCGUGGAAGGGCCAUCGCUCAACGGAUAAAAGCUACCCCGGGGAUAACAGGCUUAUCUCCCCCAAGAGUCCACAUCGACGGGGAGGUUUGGCACCUCGAUGUCGGCUCGUCUCAUCCUGGGGCUGAAGUAGGUCCCAAGGGUUGGGCUGUUCGCCCAUUAAAGAGGCACGCGAGCUGGGUUCAGAACGUCGCGAGACAGUUCGGUCCCUAUCCGUCGUGGGCGCAGGAAAUUUGAGAGGAGCUAUCCUUAGUACGAGAGGACCGGGAUGGACAAACCACUGGUGCAUCAGUUGUACUGCCAAGUGCACAGCUGAGUAGCUACGUUUGGACUGGAUAAGAGCUGAAGGCAUCUAAGCACGAAGCCAACCUCGAGAUAAGAUUUCCCAUCGAAAGAAUAAGGCCCCUUGAAGAAAAUGAGGUAGAUAGGCUUCAGGUGGAAGCACAGCAAUGUGUGGAGCUAAGAAGUACUAAUCGGCCGAAGACUUGACCAA